RNAcentral lists this long non-coding RNA (1204 nucleotides) under Anser cygnoides (Swan goose). Its description in RNAcentral is "lncRNA (ENSACDG00005011365.1)". Lineage: Eukaryota; Metazoa; Chordata; Aves; Anseriformes; Anatidae. The record is from RNAcentral.
AAGGGAGGGAGGGAGGGAGGAAGGAAGGAAGGAAGGAAGGAAGGAAGGAAGGAAGGAAGAAGCUUUUGGACUACUCUGGAUGAGAAUUAACUGCAGCCAGGCUUCCCUUUCAUGUUUUUGAAGAGAAAGUUAAAUUAAUGGUUUGUACUGAAAAAUCUGUGCUCUGUCUGCCAUGGUGCCUACCAGCAAUUCAUUAAAACCUCAUUUAAAUACUUGAAGGAAUGAACCUGAGGAAGAAAAAUCUGUGGAUGAAAAGAAAAUAGUGUGAAAUAAUAAGCUUAUAUUUUACAUGAUGAAUUGUUAGAAAUGAUGUUUAAUCCAUAAGGGACUGUAAAAUAGCUUGUCUCUACGCACAUGCAGUACAGCAUAGCUUUGUUCCCCUAGGAGCUGUGCUCCUCUGUGUGAAAGAAGCUGUAGAAAACAGGCAUGCUUCAUAUCCAUGUGCAAGAUCUGAAUUCACUAGGAAGAAAAAGUUUACUGAGAAAUAAAGAAAAAAAUAAUAAUUUAGCCAAAAAGCAAACAAACAAAACUAAACUAACUUGCCAUUGAUUAGCUUUUACUUAAAGACUGACAGAAAGUAUACAUGUGGAUAGCAUACGGAAUAAAAAGAAAAAAAAAUAGAAUUUAUAAUAGAGUACUUCAGCAUGUGAUAACAGUUCCUUCAGUUCCUUUUUAAUUUUUCUAAAAUUUAAUAACUGAAUAACAUCUUUUGGAUUUUUUUGGAAAACUGUACAACAGGACAGUAAGUUGCAUGAGCUCUUGUGUUACUUUCUUUUUGGCAAAUUCAUCCAGUGACACAGAAAAAAAAAAAAAGUGCAAAUAACCUCUAGUGUGUGCUUUUGCUCUUACCAUUUUCUCCAAGCAGGUCUGAUGCUGCAGGGUACUGGGUCCGAUGAGAACUGCGAGAUUUGGCCUCAGGCAGUUCCUCUAACUGUAGCACUUUUUUUUGUCUUUGCAGGUGAUCAGAUCACCUAUGCUGAGGUGAAAGUGAAAUGGAAAUCUGACAACACCAACAAUACAUCCACGUCUACACAUACAACAGUGGCCUGCUAUGAGAGCAAACACUGGUGUUAUGUUGCCAUCAUCCUGUACUUCGUUGCAGUGAUUCUGCUCAUCUGUGUGAUCCUUUUAGCUGUGAAAUGUAAUAAUUCCUGAGGCAGAUGGUGCAGUCCAGUUAACAAACAGAGUAAGACAUUUUUAUCCU